CCUACGGGUGGCAGCAGUGGGGAAUAUUGGGCAAUGGAGGCAACUCUGACCCAGCAACGCCGCGUGAGUGAUGAAGGUCUUCGGAUUGGAAAACUCCUUAAGUGGGGACGAAGAAAGUGAAAGUAGUUACAGUAUAAGUCUCGGCUAACUACAAGCAAGCAGCCGCGGUAAUACGGAGGAGGCAAGCGUUAUCCGGAUUGACUGGGCGUAAAGGGUGCGUAGGUGGUUCGGGAAGUUAGUGGGGAAAUUCCGUGGCUGAACCACGAAACUGCCGCUGAAAUUGGUGGGCUUGAGUACAUGUGAGGUAGGCGGAAUGCGUGGUGUAGCGGUGAAAUGCAUAGAGAUUAGGCAGAACACCGAUGGCGAAGGCAGUUUACUAAACUAUAACUGACACUGAAGCACGAAAGCGUGGGGAGCAAACAGGAUUAGAUACCCCUGUAGUC
This 443-nucleotide ribosomal RNA is filed under the name uncultured bacterium. Its description in RNAcentral is "partial 16S ribosomal RNA". It matches the Rfam family "Bacterial small subunit ribosomal RNA", at positions 338 to 795 of the family's 1533-position model. The record is from RNAcentral.